Molecule: ribosomal RNA, 450 nt
Filed under: uncultured bacterium
Lineage: Bacteria
Description: bacterial SSU rRNA
Rfam family: Bacterial small subunit ribosomal RNA
Source: RNAcentral
GAUGAACGCUGGCGGCGUGCUUAACACAUGCAAGUCGAGCGAAGCACUUGAGUUUGAUUCUUCGGAUGAAGACUUUUGUGACUGAGCGGCGGACGGGUGAGUAACGCGUGGGUAACCUGCCUCAUACAGGGGGAUAACAGUUAGAAAUGACUGCUAAUACCGCAUAAGACCACGGUACCGCAUGGUACAGUGGUAAAAACUCCGGUGGUAUGAGAUGGACCCGCGUCUGAUUAGGUAGUUGGUGGGGUAACGGCCUACCAAGCCGACGAUCAGUAGCCGACCUGAGAGGGUGACCGGCCACAUUGGGACUGAGACACGGCCCAGACUCCUACGGGAGGCAGCAGUGGGGAAUAUUGCACAAUGGAGGAAACUCUGAUGCAGCGACGCCGCGUGAAGGAUGAAGUAUUUCGGUAUGUAAACUUCUAUCAGCAGGGAAGAAAAUGACGGUAC